This 253-nucleotide ribosomal RNA is filed under the name uncultured bacterium. Its description in RNAcentral is "partial 16S ribosomal RNA". It matches the Rfam family "Bacterial small subunit ribosomal RNA", at positions 524 to 776 of the family's 1533-position model. The record is from RNAcentral.
UACGUAGGGGGCAAGCGUUGUCCGGAUUCAUUGGGCGUAAAGGGUGCGUAGGCGGCGCGGUAAGUCGGGUGUGAAAUCUUGGAGCUUAACUCCGAAACUACAUUCGAUACUGCCGUGCUUGAGGACUGGAGAGGAGACUGGAAUUUACGGUGUAGCGGUGAAAUGCGUAGAUAUUGGGAGGAACACCGGUGGCGAAGGCGGCCCCCUGGACCGGUACUGACGCUGAGGCGCGAAAGCGUGGGGAGCAAACGGG